This is a long non-coding RNA of Chlorocebus sabaeus (green monkey), 2034 nucleotides long. RefSeq lists it as uncharacterized. The record is from RefSeq and is a predicted model, not a curated record. Lineage: Eukaryota; Metazoa; Chordata; Mammalia; Primates; Cercopithecidae.
CUGAAUAGCUGAGACUACAGGAGCCACACCUGGCUCCUUCACUUUUGAAGGAUAAUUUUGCAGGACACAGAGUUCUAGAUUGGUGUCUUUUUCCCUCUCAGUUUAUUUCACUCCAUUUUCUUCUUGCUUCCUUGGGUUCCAAGGAAACCAGUUGUAAUUUUUAUCUUUAUCUUCUACUGUUAAGGGUUUUUCCCCUACCAGCGCUCUCUGGCUUACUUCAAGAUUUUUUCUCUAUCUUCGAUUUUCUGCAGUUCGAAUAUGAUAUGCCCAGGCACAAUUUGUUUUGUCAGUUUUCUUUUCUUUUUUGGGGGGGAUUUAUCCUGCUUGGUGUUUUUUUUGAGCUUGCUAGAUCUUUGUUUGACAUUAAUUUGGGAGAAAUCUGUAGUCAUUAUUUCUUCAGACAUUUCUUUUUUUCCUUUCUCAUACUUCUUUGGUAUUCUCAUUACUUAUAUGUUAUACUUCUUAAAACUGUCCCAUAGUUCUUGGAUAUUCUUUUCUGUUUUGUUUUGUUUUGUUUUAGUUUCCUUAUCUCUGCCUUUCAGUUUCAGAAGUUUCUAUUGACACAUCCUCAAGCUCAGUGGUUCUCUUUUCAGCUGUGUCUAGUCUACUAGUGAGCACAUCCAAAGCAUCCUUCAUUUCUACUAUAGAGUUUUAAAAUCUCUAGCUAGCAUUUUUUUUUUAUUCUUUUGUAGAACUUCUGUCUCUCUGCCUACAUCAUUCAUUGAUUUUUUCAUGUUGCGCACUUUUUCCAUUAGAUUACUUACCAUAUUAAUUAUAGUUAAUUUAAAGUCCUGGCCUGAUAUUUGUAAGAUUCUUGCCAUAUCCGAUUCUGCUUUUGGUACUUUCUCAUUUUCUUCAAACUGUGCUUUUUUGGCAUUUUAGUAUGCUUGUAAUUUUUUUGUUAAAAGCAGAGUAGGAUGUACUAGGUGAAAGGAAUUGAGUAAAUAGACCUUUAGCAAUGUGGUGGUAAGGGGCAGGGCAUGGGGGAAGCUUUCCAUAGUCCCAUGAUUAGGUCUUAGUCUUCCAGUGAGCUUCUGUCCAUGGACUAUAAACCUCAGAAAUGCUUCUUAUAUUUUUUUACUUCCUUAGAUGAGACAUGAUAUCUAGAGGGUUUGGAUAGUUGGGUAUUUCCCUUGCCGUAGUUUAAUUAGGCUCUGAUAAAACCCCAACAGGUUAGGCUUUGGUAAAAUAAUUUCUCCUGAGGGCAGGUCUUAUUAAGAACAAAAUGCCCUGACUUAUUUCAAAAUGAUUGCUUUUAUCCUCCUGCAGCCAGAAGAAGGAAGGUGUCUAUACUGUGAGAUUUUACUAGAGCUCUUAGAGACUCUCUGGCUCUUCUCACUUGUUUGCGCUGAUGAUGCAAGUUGUCGUGUUGUGAGUUACCAAUAAGACACCUACACGGUAACGAACCAAAGGUGACAUCCAGUCCACAGUCAGUGAGGAACUGAGGCUCUCACUCCAACAGCCUGCAAGGAACUGAAUCCUGCCAACAGCCAUUGUAGUGUAGAAGUCAUUCCACUACCAGUCAUGUUUCAAGAUGCUUCAGACACAGCUGACAGCUUGAUUUCAGCUUUCUGAGAUGAUCCCUGUGAGAUAUCCAAAGCCAGAGGAUCCAGCUAAGCUGCACCUGAAUUCCUGACUUGCAGAAAGACUGAGAUCAUACUGUUGUGUUAUAGUGCUAAGUUUCGGGGUAAUUAAUGCCACUUCAAUAGAUAUUAGUAAAUACACCUCAUUUAAAUUUUUCUUCUGUAUCAUUCUCAACAAAUAUAAACUUGGGGAUGUUUUUACAUUCACUAAUAGUAUCACUGUAAACUUUCUGUGAAUGAUUUAAUAAUAUCGGGUGAACUCACUGCCCAUUAUAAACUGAAGAAAAUCUCAGAGAUUUGAUCAUUAAGGUUUAAUAAGAGUUGAUGGGAUUAAUUAUUAUAGCCACAUCAACAACAUAACUAUGCUGUGAGUUUGCUUUUAACUGAAGUGCUGUUGCUUUCGUUCUGGGCAUUUAAAAUAAAUAUAAAUUUGUUUUGGUUUGCUAGUUUA